AUGCCAAGGAAACAUUCCUCAGACUCGGGGUCUAUGGUCAGAGCUGGCUGUAAUUAUCCAAACCGAGGUCCAAGCAGGAGAAGCAAGCAUGGGAGUGAAAAAGGGAACAGACUGUUUCCCAUGCUGUGCACAGUCACUGGAUCUUCACAGAGGCAGGAGGAGCAAGUAAUGAACCACCCCUUGAAGACUGGGCAGCUACACUAAAUGGUUAUAGAAAAUUGGAGCAGAACUUGAGAAGGGAAGAGAAGCAUAAACUCUUCAGUGAAUUGUUGGAUGGGUUAGGAGGUGACAAAGCUAUUGCUGCUUCAUAAUAAGCAUGAAGAGAUCUGUGUCCUUAGGGAAUAUGCUCAAAAAAUGUGUAAAUUGAGGAGUUCCUGCUGUGGCACAGUGGGUUAAGAAUCCAAAUGUAGCAGCUCUGGCCUCUCUGGAGGUAAGGGUUUGAUCCCCAGCCUCACUGGAUCCCUGGAUUCUUGGGUUAAAGAGUCUGGCAUUGCCACAGCUGAGGCUCUGAUUCAAUCCCUGGCCCAGGAACUUCCCUAUGCGGUGGGUUUGGCCAUUAAAAAAAAGAACGAGUAAAUUGAGACUUCAAAGAGAGACAAAUUGAACCAUAUUAAGUAUAAGCCAGACAGAAGAUUAAAUUUUGGCUAGGGUUUGUUAUUGUUGUAGUGAGAUUAUCCAUUCUAGGGUGGUGAACGUAACUUUGGAACAUAAGGAACUCACUGACUUCAUGGCCUUACCUCAGAGAUGUAAAGAGUAUGGUUUGAAAAAAAAAUAAAACAAAUGGCCAGGACUGAGGGACA
Molecule: long non-coding RNA, 800 nt
Filed under: Sus scrofa (pig)
Lineage: Eukaryota; Metazoa; Chordata; Mammalia; Artiodactyla; Suidae
Description: lncRNA (ENSSSCG00015035650.1)
Source: RNAcentral